This 61-nucleotide transfer RNA is filed under the name bovine gut metagenome. It matches the Rfam family "tRNA", at positions 8 to 63 of the family's 71-position model. Rfam says of the family: Transfer RNA (tRNA) molecules are approximately 80 nucleotides in length. Their secondary structure includes four short double-helical elements and three loops (D, anti-codon, and T loops). Further hydrogen bonds mediate the characteristic L-shaped molecular structure. tRNAs have two regions of fundamental functional importance: the anti-codon, which is responsible for specific mRNA codon recognition, and the 3' end, to which the tRNAs corresponding amino acid is attached (by aminoacyl-tRNA synthetases). tRNAs cope with the degeneracy of the genetic code in two manners: having more than one tRNA (with a specific anti-codon) for a particular amino acid; and 'wobble' base-pairing, i.e. permitting non-standard base-pairing at the 3rd anti-codon position. The record is from RNAcentral.
UUUAGCUCAGUUGGUUAGAGCAUCUGACUGUUAAUCAGGGGGUCCUAGGUUCAAGUCCUAG